RNAcentral lists this ribosomal RNA (254 nucleotides) under uncultured bacterium. RNAcentral's name for it is "partial 16S ribosomal RNA". It matches the Rfam family "Bacterial small subunit ribosomal RNA", at positions 524 to 776 of the family's 1533-position model. The record is from RNAcentral.
UACGGAGGAUGCAAGCGUUAUCCGGAAUGAUUGGGCGUAAAGCGUCCGCAGGUGGCUAUGUAAGUCUGCUGUUAAAGAGUGAGGCUCAACCUCAUAAGAGCAGUGGAAACUACAUGGCUAGAGUGCGUUCGGGGCAGAGGGAAGUUCCUGGUGUAGCGGUGAAAUGCGUAGAGAUCAGGAAGAACAUCGGUGGCGAAGGCGCUCUGCUGGACCAUAACUGACACUCAGGGACGAAAGCUAGGGGAGCGAAUGGG